GAUGAACGCUGGCGGCGUGCCUAAUACAUGCAAGUCGAGCGAACAGACGAGGAGCUUGCUCCUUCGACGUUAGCGGCGGACGGGUGAGUAACAAGUAGGUAACCUACCUAUAUGACUGGGAUAACUUCGGGAAACCGGAGACACUACCGGAUAAUAUUUCGAACCGCAUGGUUCGAUAGUGAAAGAUGGCUUUGCUAUCACAUAUAGAUGGACCUGCGCCGUAUUAGCUAGUUGGUAAGGUAACGGCUUACCAAGGCAACGAUACGUAGCCGACCUGAGAGGGUGAUCGGCCACACUGGAACUGAGACACGGUCCAGACUCCUACGGGAGGCAGCAGUAGGGAAUCUUCCGCAAAGGGCGAAAGCCUGACGGAGCAACGCCGCGUGAGUGAUGAAGGUCUUCGGAUCGUAAAGCUCUGUUAUUAGGGAAGAACAAACGUGUAAGUAACUGUGCACGUCUUGACGGUACCUAAUCAGAAAGCCACGGCUAACUACGUG
RNAcentral lists this ribosomal RNA (497 nucleotides) under uncultured bacterium. RNAcentral's name for it is "partial 16S ribosomal RNA". It matches the Rfam family "Bacterial small subunit ribosomal RNA", at positions 28 to 507 of the family's 1533-position model. The record is from RNAcentral.